Molecule: non-coding RNA, 92 nt
Filed under: Gemmatimonas phototrophica
Lineage: Bacteria; Pseudomonadati; Gemmatimonadota; Gemmatimonadia; Gemmatimonadales; Gemmatimonadaceae
Description: c-di-GMP sequence
Rfam family: c-di-GMP-I-GGC riboswitch aptamer
Source: Rfam by way of RNAcentral
UCGCGAAACGGCAAACCUGGUGAAAGCCAGGGACGCAAAGCUACAGGGCUUACUCACACCACACGGUGUGGCUGCCGGCUGAGCUACCGAAC